Molecule: long non-coding RNA, 359 nt
Organism: Perca flavescens (yellow perch)
Lineage: Eukaryota; Metazoa; Chordata; Actinopteri; Perciformes; Percidae
Exons: 3
Source: RefSeq, a predicted model, not a curated record
CCUCACACAGUGAGCUGGGUGAUACUGACAUUAGUCUUCUAUUACUGCUUGUCAGAAAGCCUCAUGAGUGACACGUGACGAGGAAGGAGGUGGGCUGUACUCGGUGUGUCUGGUAGAAGUUAAUGUGCUGAUCUCAGAUGACCAACAUUUCAAAUGGAGGAAUCAUCUCUACAGCUGCUGCUGGUUCUGAUCUCACUGCUGAGCUGCACAACCAACCAAGCCUCUCUGACUGUGAGUCCCAGCAGCUCUCAGAUGUUUAGAGGACAGUAUGUCUCUCUGAGCUGUGAGGUGGACGACAGCUCUGCUGGAUGGACUCUGAGGAGGAACACAACCAGAGAAACCAGGACUCAGUGUGGAGA